This 522-nucleotide ribosomal RNA is filed under the name uncultured bacterium. Its description in RNAcentral is "bacterial SSU rRNA". It matches the Rfam family "Bacterial small subunit ribosomal RNA", at positions 164 to 688 of the family's 1533-position model. The record is from RNAcentral.
UAAUGCCGGAUGUUCCACAUGAGCGCAUGCGAGUGUGGGAAAGGCUUUUGCGGCAUGGGAUGGGGUCGCGUCCUAUCAGCUUGUUGGUGGGGUAACGGCCUACCAAGGCGUUGACGGGUAGCCGGCCUGAGAGGGCGACCGGCCACAUUGGGACUGAGAUACGGCCCAGACUCCUACGGGAGGCAGCAGUGGGGAAUAUUGCACAAUGGGCGCAAGCCUGAUGCAGCGACGCCGCGUGCGGGAUGGAGGCCUUCGGGUUGUAAACCGCUUUUGUUCAAGGGCAAGGCACGGUUUCGGCCGUGUUGAGUGGAUUGUUCGAAUAAGCACCGGCUAACUACGUGCCAGCAGCCGCGGUAAUACGUAGGGUGCAAGCGUUAUCCGGAUUUAUUGGGCGUAAAGGGCUCGUAGGCGGUUCGUCGCGUCCGGUGUGAAAGUCCAUCGCUUAACGGUGGAUCCGCGCCGGGUACGGGCGGGCUUGAGUGCGGUAGGGGAGACUGGAAUUCCCGGUGUAACGGUGGAAUG